Molecule: ribosomal RNA, 775 nt
Filed under: uncultured Neocallimastigales
Lineage: Eukaryota; Fungi; Neocallimastigomycota; Neocallimastigomycetes; Neocallimastigales
Description: partial large subunit ribosomal RNA
Rfam family: Eukaryotic large subunit ribosomal RNA
Source: RNAcentral
UAGAUGCGAGAGUAGAGCAUAUCAAUAAGCGGAGGAAAAGAAACUAACAAGGAUUCCCUAGUAACGGCGAGUGAAGCGGGAAGAGCUCAAAUUUGAAAUCUUCAAGGUUUGACCUUGACGAAUUGUAGUUUAUAGAAGUGUUUUCUGUUAGUAGGAGUAGUAAAAGUUCUUUGGAAUAGGACAUCAUAGAGGGUGAGAAUCCCGUAUUUGACUAUUCUUUCUAGCUGUGUGAUACACUUUCAAAGAGUCGGAUUGUUUGGGAAUGCAGUCCAAAAUGGGUGGUAAAUUUCAUCUAAAGCUAAAUAUUGGCGAGAGACCGAUAGCGAACAAGUACCGUGAGGGAAAGAUGAAAAGAACUUUGAAAAGAGAGUUAAACAGUACGUGAAAUUGUCAAAAGGGAAGCGUUUGACACCAGUGUUGUUUUUCCGAAAAUCAAUUACGAAUGUUUUAUUUUUGAGGAGUUAUGACUUCAUCGGCUUGCUCCUUUCUUUAUGAAACUUUCUUAAUGCACUUUUCGGUUAACAAGUCAACAUCAAUUUCUUUUGUUGUAAAAGGGUAUGAGGAAGGUGGCUUUCUUUUCGGAGAAAGUGUUUAUAGCCUUGUGCCUCUGCAAUCGGAGAGAUUGAGGUCUGCAGCGUAGAUCCUUCGGGGUUAGAUACGUUUGUGCUAAGUUAUAGCUUUUCAUAGACAACUUGUUGACUAUGUUUAGUCUUGUAGCUUACUCGCUAUACGCUAUUUUACCUACGCUUAGGAUGUUGACACACGCGCGUGCUCG